AGGAGGCAGCAGUGAGGAAUAUUGGUCAAUGGACGCAAGUCUGAACCAGCCAUGCCGCGUGGAGGAUGAAGGCCCUCUGGGUUGUAAACUUCUUUUAUCUGGGACGAAAAAGGGACUUUCUAGUUCAACUGACGGUACCAGAGGAAUAAGCACCGGCUAACUCCGUGCCAGCAGCCGCGGUAAUACGGAGGGUGCAAGCGUUAUCCGGAUUCACUGGGUUUAAAGGGUGCGUAGGUGGGUUGGUAAGUCAGUGGUGAAAUCUCCAGGCUUAACUUGGAAACUGCCAUUGAUACUAUUAAUCUUGAAUACCGUGGAGGUCAGCGGAAUAUGUCAUGUAGCGGUGAAAUGCUUAGAUAUGACAUAGAACACCAAUUGCGAAGGCAGCUGGCUACACGAAUAUUGACACUGAUGCACGAAAGCGUGGGGAUCAAACAGGAUUAGAAACCCCAGUAGUCCC
Molecule: ribosomal RNA, 457 nt
Filed under: uncultured bacterium
Lineage: Bacteria
Description: bacterial SSU rRNA
Rfam family: Bacterial small subunit ribosomal RNA
Source: RNAcentral